AGGGGACCGCGGCCGAUUAGCUAGUUGGCGGGUAAUGGCCCACCAAGGCGACGAUCGGUAGCCGGCCUGAGAGGGUGAUCGGCCACACCGGAACUGAGACACGGUCCGGACUCCUACGGAGGCAGCAGUGGGGAAUUUUGCGCAAUGGGCGAAAGCCCUGACGCAGCAACGCCGCGUGGAGGAUGAAGGUGCUCUGCAUUGUAAACUCCUGUCGGCCGGGAAGAAUCGGCGGGGUGCUAAUCAGCCCCGUCUUGACUGUACCGGCAAAGGAAGCCCCGGCUAACUCCGUG
Molecule: ribosomal RNA, 290 nt
Filed under: uncultured bacterium
Lineage: Bacteria
Description: partial 16S ribosomal RNA
Rfam family: Bacterial small subunit ribosomal RNA
Source: RNAcentral